This 243-nucleotide long non-coding RNA is filed under the name Homo sapiens (human). RNAcentral describes it as "HSALNT0286274". The record is from RNAcentral. Lineage: Eukaryota; Metazoa; Chordata; Mammalia; Primates; Hominidae.
GAGUUUGGUAACAGGAACUUCUCGGAUUGGUCUUUUCAUACGGCACAGAGCCUCUAAGGAUGUGCCAAAACAACUUGGGAGGUAAUUUCCACUGAUAGUCAAGAAGUAAUCUUUGCCUCGAUCCAGGUGAAGGACGAGAAUAUCUUCAAUCUUAUCUUCUCCCGAGUUCAGGAUGGUUACAGAGUCUUUGCUGACAUACACAUCAAGAGAAAUGUCCACUGUCUCAUCUGAAAUGUAAGAGAU